This 252-nucleotide ribosomal RNA is filed under the name uncultured bacterium. RNAcentral describes it as "partial 16S ribosomal RNA". It matches the Rfam family "Bacterial small subunit ribosomal RNA", at positions 524 to 776 of the family's 1533-position model. The record is from RNAcentral.
UACGUAGGGGGCAAGCGUUGUCCGGAUUUAUUGGGCGUAAAGAGCGUGUAGGCGGCUUGGUAGGUCUCGCGUCAAAACCUGAGGCUCAACCUCAGUUCGCGUGGGAAACCACCUAGCUAGAGUCCGGAAGAGGAGAACGGAAUUCCCAGUGUAGCGGUGAAAUGCGCAGAUAUUGGGAAGAACACCAGUGGCGAAGGCGGUUCGCUGGGACGGUACUGACGCUGAGACGCGAAAGCGUGGGGAGCGAACAGG